This 429-nucleotide ribosomal RNA is filed under the name Actinomycetes bacterium. RNAcentral's name for it is "Actinobacteria bacterium partial 16S ribosomal RNA". It matches the Rfam family "Bacterial small subunit ribosomal RNA", at positions 355 to 776 of the family's 1533-position model. Lineage: Bacteria; Bacillati; Actinomycetota; Actinomycetes. The record is from RNAcentral.
UAGGGAAUCUUCCGCAAUGGGCGAAAGCCUGACGGAGCAACGCCGCGUGAGUGAUGAAGGUCUUCGGAUCGUAAAACUCUGUUAUUAGGGAAGAACAAAUGUGUAAGUAACUAUGCACGUCUUGACGGUACCUAAUCAGAAAGCCACGGCUAACUACGUGCCAGCAGCCGCGGUAAUACGUAGGUGGCAAGCGUUAUCCGGAAUUAUUGGGCGUAAAGCGCGCGUAGGCGGUUUUUUAAGUCUGAUGUGAAAGCCCACGGCUCAACCGUGGAGGGUCAUUGGAAACUGGAAAACUUGAGUGCAGAAGAGGAAAGUGGAAUUCCGAGUGUAGAGGUGAAAUUCGUAGAUAUUCGGAGGAACACCAGUGGCGAAGGCGGCUCACUGGACCAUUACUGACGCUGAGGUGCGAAAGCGUGGGGAGCAAACAGG